UACAGAGGUGGCAAGCGUUGUUCGGAAUUACUGGGCGUAAAGGGCGCGUAGGCGGCCUUCUCAGUCGGACGUGAAAUCCCCAGGCUUAACUUGGGAACUGCGUCCGAUACUGGAUGGCUUGAGUGCGGGAGAGGGAUGUGGAAUUCCAGGUGUAGCGGUGAAAUGCGUAGAUAUCUGGAGGAACACCGGUGGCGAAGGCGGCACCCUGGACCGACACUGACGCUGAGGCGCGAAAGCCAGGGGAGCAAACGGG
RNAcentral lists this ribosomal RNA (253 nucleotides) under uncultured bacterium. RNAcentral describes it as "partial 16S ribosomal RNA". It matches the Rfam family "Bacterial small subunit ribosomal RNA", at positions 524 to 776 of the family's 1533-position model. The record is from RNAcentral.